RNAcentral lists this ribosomal RNA (539 nucleotides) under Penicillium rubens. Its description in RNAcentral is "eukaryotic LSU rRNA". The stretch from base 182 to 334 matches the Rfam family "5.8S ribosomal RNA". The record is from RNAcentral. Lineage: Eukaryota; Fungi; Ascomycota; Eurotiomycetes; Eurotiales; Aspergillaceae.
CAUUACCGAGUGAGGGCCCGCNNNNNCCCACCUCCCACCCNNNNNNANUUUACCUUGUUGCUUCGGCGGGCCCGCCUUAACUGGCCGCCGGGGGGCUUACGCCCCCGGGCCCGCGCCCGCCGAAGACACCCUCGAACUCUGUCUGAAGAUUGUAGUCUGAGUGAAAAUAUAAAUUAUUUAAAACUUUCAACAACGGAUCUCUUGGUUCCGGCAUCGAUGAAGAACGCAGCGAAAUGCGAUACGUAAUGUGAAUUGCAAAUUCAGUGAAUCAUCGAGUCUUUGAACGCACAUUGCGCCCCCUGGUAUUCCGGGGGGCAUGCCUGUCCGAGCGUCAUUUCUGCCCUCAAGCACGGCUUGUGUGUUGGGCCCCGUCCUCCGAUCCCGGGGGACGGGCCCGAAAGGCAGCGGCGGCACCGCGUCCGGUCCUCGAGCGUAUGGGGCUUUGUCACCCGCUCUGUAGGCCCGGCCGGCGCUUGCCGAUCAACCCAAAUUUUUANCCAGGUGGNCCGCGGAUCAGGUAGGGAUACCCGCUGAACUUA